RNAcentral lists this RNase P RNA (377 nucleotides) under Gammaproteobacteria bacterium. Its description in RNAcentral is "RNase P RNA component class A". It matches the Rfam family "Bacterial RNase P class A". From Rfam's summary of the family: Ribonuclease P (RNase P) is a ubiquitous endoribonuclease, found in archaea, bacteria and eukarya as well as chloroplasts and mitochondria. Its best characterised activity is the generation of mature 5'-ends of tRNAs by cleaving the 5'-leader elements of precursor-tRNAs. The record is from RNAcentral. Lineage: Bacteria; Pseudomonadati; Pseudomonadota; Gammaproteobacteria.
AGAGCCGGCCAGGCAAUCGCUGUCACGCGGGAUUCCCCGGGUGGCAGAGGAAAGUCCGGGCUCGGCGGGUCGAGGUGCCAGGUAACGCCUGGGGGGCGCGAGCCCACGGAAAGUGCAACAGAAAGUAAACCGCCGAAGUGCCGGAAACGGCGCUGGCAAGGGUGAAAUGGUGCGGUAAGAGCGCACCGCGCUGGUGGCAACAUCAGUGGCACGGCAAACCCCACCUGGAGCAAGGCCAAAUAGGGAAGUCGCGGUGGCGACACCGCAGCGCCGGACCUGCGCGUGCUUCCGGGUAGGCCGCUUGAGGCGUGCGGCGACGCACGUCCCAGAGGAAUGAUUGCCCACGACAGAACCCGGCUUAUCGGCCGGCUCUCCUU